This 321-nucleotide ribosomal RNA is filed under the name uncultured Flectomonas. Its description in RNAcentral is "SSU rRNA". The stretch from base 104 to 321 matches the Rfam family "Eukaryotic small subunit ribosomal RNA", at positions 736 to 955 of the family's 1831-position model. The record is from RNAcentral. Lineage: Eukaryota; Cercozoa; Glissomonadida.
GAUUUCUGGUGUGAUGCGCCUGACCCACCCACAUCUGUGGCGUGAGUGUCGGUGCGCGUCUGCCAUCCUUCUAGAGAACGGCCCUGCUCUUCACUGGGUGGGGUCGCGAUCUAGAUCUUUUACUUUGAAAAAAUUAGAGUGUUUAAAGCAGGCUUGCGCUAUGAAUACAUUAGCAUGGAAUAAUAAUUUAGGACUUUGUUCCUAUUUUGUUGGUUUCUAGGGAUGAAGUAAUGAUUGAUAGGGGCAGUUGGGGGUGCUAGUAUUCAGCGGCCAGAGGUGAAAUUCUUGGAUUCGCUGAAGACUAACUUAUGCGAAAGCAUU